GUGCUCACUUCAGCAGCACAUAUACUAAAAUUGUAACGAUACAGAGAUUAGUACGUCCACAUGCAAGGAUGAUAGGCAAAUUUGUGAAGUAGUCUAUAUUUUU
Molecule: small nuclear RNA, 103 nt
Organism: Nannospalax galili (Upper Galilee mountains blind mole rat)
Lineage: Eukaryota; Metazoa; Chordata; Mammalia; Rodentia; Spalacidae
Source: Ensembl